Molecule: non-coding RNA, 29 nt
Filed under: Trypanosoma brucei brucei
Lineage: Eukaryota; Euglenozoa; Kinetoplastea; Trypanosomatida; Trypanosomatidae
Source: RNAcentral
AAACAAAUCUGAUGAUAACUGCAACGAGA